AGUACGCUCGCAAGGGUGAAACUCAAAGGAAUUGACGGGGGCCCGCACAAGCGGUGGAGCAUGUGGUUUAAUUCGAUGCAACGCGAAGAACCUUACCAGGGCUUGACAUACUGCGAAUCUUUUUGAAAGAAGAGAGUGCCUUCGGGAAUGCAGAUACAGGUGGUGCAUGGCUGUCGUCAGCUCGUGUCGUGAGAUGUUGGGUUAAGUCCCGCAACGAGCGCAACCCUUGUUUUUAGUUACCAAUUCGUUGGGUUUUCUAGAAAGACUGCCGGUGACAAACCGGAGGAAGGUGAGGAUGACGUCAAGUCAGCAUGCCCCUUAUGUCCUGGGCUACACACGUGCUACAAUGGUUAGGACAAAGAGUCGCGAGCUCGCAAGAGUCAGCUAAUCUCGUAAACCUAGCCUAAGUUCAGAUUGUAGGCUGCAACUCGCCUACAUGAAGUUGGAAUCGCUAGUAAUCGCUGGUCAGCCAUACAGCGGUGAAUCCGUUCCCGGGCCUUGUACACACCGCCCGUCACACCAUGGGAGCUGGUCAUACCCGAAACCGUUAGCUUAACCAUUCGGAGAGCGGCGUCUAAGGUAGGGCUAGUGACUGGGGUG
RNAcentral lists this ribosomal RNA (600 nucleotides) under uncultured bacterium. RNAcentral describes it as "bacterial SSU rRNA". It matches the Rfam family "Bacterial small subunit ribosomal RNA", at positions 879 to 1482 of the family's 1533-position model. The record is from RNAcentral.